This is a long non-coding RNA of Nasonia vitripennis (jewel wasp), 1159 nucleotides long. RefSeq lists it as uncharacterized. The transcript is spliced from 4 exons. The record is from RefSeq and is a predicted model, not a curated record. Lineage: Eukaryota; Metazoa; Arthropoda; Insecta; Hymenoptera; Pteromalidae.
AUCUAAACGCUCUUUUACAUUUUUUUAUUUUUUAAUGUAGCUUUUAAUUUGUUUUUUGAAAUUCAAAAUUAAAUAUUAGAUUUAUAAAUUCAUUCAUUUCAGUUCAUUACUUUUUAGAAAUGUAAGAGAGCGUUGGAGGGGCUGAUCGCUGUUGGCUGGGCCUCACAGAGUUGGGCGAGGUCGGGGCCUUUCUCACCCUAAACCAUAAAAAAAUUCUUUGCAGAUACUGGAACAAAAAUUUGCCUGUAAGUAGCGAAAUUAAAGUAUCUGUGGAGAUUCAGAGACUACAGAACUCUACGCAGCCACUUCCUGCAGUCAUACACCAGGUUUGAAAGGUUUUGAAUAGAAGGUGUUCAUAUUUGGAUCACCUGGAGUCCAUAUCGGUUGUUGUAGUGGGGAAUAUAAUCAGCCUCUUCGGAUACACCAGCUCUGCAAGAAGACUACGCAAAGCAUUUUUUAGGUGACUGUGGCUGUGCAUGUGGUAUGUACCCGCCAUGUCUCUCUUGAUGCGCAACACAGAAGUAAAGUGUCUACUAAAAGCUAGUGCAAGUCUUGUGCGGGGAAGGAAAAUUAUUAGGGAUUAGCAUGUGAGGGAGUAGGCUAGUUAAUCUAAGAUCUCUUCGAGUCUGAAAAUCCACACGCGUUUAGCCAGAAAAAGCCUAUGAUUCUUACAAUGAAUGAUAAAGUGAUCUUUUAAGUUUUAUUUAAGUUUGCCUAUUCUUUAUAUGCACUGACUAUUAUACAAAGGCGAUAUAUAUUUUUAUAGUAAAAAAUCGAAUAAGAAUAAAAAAUACAAUAGUCUCUACAGCCAGGAGAUUCACUUCAUUAAUUAUUGUAAGAAAUUACAGACUUAUUCUGGCUAAGCGCAUGCAGGUGUUAAGAUGAACGUUAUAACAGGUACAAUUUAACAACAAAAUCAUAAUCUGUUUAGCUUUGUUAUGUUAUCUAAAAUCCCUGUACAGAAUUUCAGAUCUCUAGGUUAAAUAGCAUUUCAAUUACAAGGUCUUAAAAAUAUUCUUAUACGUCUUUUCAUCGGUCUUUUCAUCGGCUUUUUUAGGAUGUUCCUCUUAUAAUGUUUAUCUAAACACUCACACUAACAACUGUCUUAUACUUAACGAUUGUUAUAAUAUACUUUGUAUUAUAUAUGGCGUGAUAUUAA